CAGUCGAGCGAUGGAUUGAGAGCUUGCUCUCAAGAAGUUAGCGGCGGACGGGUGAGUAACACGUGGGUAACCUGCCCAUAAGACUGGGAUAACUCCGGGAAACCGGGGCUAAUACCGGAUAACAUUUUGAACCGCAUGGUUCGAAAUUGAAAGGCGGCUUCGGCUGUCACUUAUGGAUGGACCCGCGUCGCAUUAGCUAGUUGGUGAGGUAACGGCUCACCAAGGCAACGAUGCGUAGCCGACCUGAGAGGGUGAUCGGCCACACUGGGACUGAGACACGGCCCAGACUCCUACGGGAGGCAGCAGUAGGGAAUCUUCCGCAAUGGACGAAAGUCUGACGGAGCAACGCCGCGUGAGUGAUGAAGGCUUUCGGGUCGUAAAACUCUGUUGUUAGGGAAGAACAAGUGCUAGUUGAAUAAGCUGGCACCUUGACGGUACCUAACCAGAAAGCCACGGCUAACUACGUGCCAGCAGC
RNAcentral lists this ribosomal RNA (475 nucleotides) under bacterium BSD16-10. Its description in RNAcentral is "bacterial SSU rRNA". It matches the Rfam family "Bacterial small subunit ribosomal RNA", at positions 59 to 515 of the family's 1533-position model. The record is from RNAcentral.